UUCUCUCACAAUUUCGGGUUGCCACAGAAAGUCUAGAAACCCGUCAGGCAGAGAAUCGUAACCCACCCCUUCCAGAAGUUCCAUGACUUCCAGACGUUUACUGAGCCAAAUCUAUAGAUAAGAGAAAAGCGAUCCAGAGGGAGAUAGAGAGAUCGACUGUGAUAGAGAGAGAGAGAUCGGGUGUGUGUCUUUCCUUUCUCUCGAUGUGAGCUCUGAAAAGCAGAGGAGUAGAGUGAUUCUUGAAGUUCAAGUAAACCCGGCAUGUCAUACAGGUCUGGAAGACCCGACCACGUGUCAUUUUAAUUUGUCUGUUGCGAUUAAACUUCUUUAGCAAGUUCAGUUUUAGAGAGAGGAAUCAUUCUCAAAAAAAAGUUUUAGAAAGAGGAAUCUAAACACUUUUUCCAAUUUUGUGUAAAAAUUUGUGAUUGGAGAAUGGAGAUGUUCAAUAGGGUUUCGAGACGUGGUUUACAAGUAGUCAAGACCUUCCUGUCGAAGGAGUCUGAGAUGAGUCGUCAUAUCAAUUUCUAAUUGUUAGGACCGCGUUGAGUAUGACACAAUAUGUUUUUCAUGUGCCAAAGACGAGUUCAGACCAUAUCAUCACUAGGCACCAAUACAAUAGGACUUGGUCCAAUAGACAAGCCAACUAUAUAUCAAAUCCAAGCAGGGGUUGGUUUGUUUUGUUUGUUCCUGUUCAUGUAUAGGCAGAACGACUUUGUAUUCAUCGAACCAGGGUAAUUGCAAGGAUGUUGCAGAUGACUAGUAGUAGAGUCCGAGCCCAUAAUUCCAGAUUAUUCUGAUUGAUUUGAUAUAGGAGUCUCUUACUGGAAAGGGUGGAGGAAAAAUGAGAUGCUGAUGGAUGUUGUAUUCGGAAGUUUCAUGUGUCUAUCUACCUUUCUGCUUGCUACGAGGGCUCUUUUCAGCACAUUCCCUAGAUCACUCGGGUACAAAGACCUUCUGCUGGCACUACUUAUUAAUUUCAAGAUGUUUCUAAUUGCAAUGAUGGUCUGGGAAUGUCCUAUGAUUGUGAUCAUUGAUUUAUUUGUGUUAUCCUCCCACACAGUGGCACUCAAAGUUUAUGGCUUGGAUGACUCUGGUGGGGUGAUGAAGGUAGUAGCUACCAAAAUUUUACUUGAUGAAAAUAUGAAGGAAAAUGCUUAUGACCCGUACGCAUAAUGAGGCUGAGCUUCAAAUUGACUGGUGUUGCUUCCAUGAAAGUUCUCGUUGCCUCCACGCUCUUGUUCGUUGGCAAAUUGGUUGGAUCGGUUCCAUCGUUGAUGAAAGCAUCUCAUCAUGUCUUGGAAUGACAAAAGACCCAACAGGCCUUCUCAGAAAUGGAUUAAGCAAAACAGGCAUAGAGUCAGGCAAAUAAUAGACAAUGAAAAAAAGGGAUUUUGUUUGACGACCAAACCAGAAAACAGUUGAGAACAAUCUUUGGAGAAGAGUUAGAAGAGGCGCUAGAUGGCAAAAUAUGCAUGGAACUCACACACUUCACAACUUUGGUGAAGUCAGACAUGCCCUUGUAAGUCUCUCUACAUUUAAUUACAUAUACUUUCUUUAGGGUCUAAGGUUUUGCAUUAAAUUUCAAAGGUGUGUAUCAGAAUUCACAAAGCUUCAUGAUAUGGCUCGUUGUGUGAGAAGUAAUCCUUGUAAAGAUAGAAGAAGGGGUGAGAAAGGUGAACAGUUAUUCACACAAACCUAAAAGCUAGUACCUAUUAAUUUUUUAGAUUACUUUUGGGAUUACGAUAAUCUAAGAGCAAAGGAACAGAGAGAGACAGUAUGAGUUAACAACUUAACAUUGAUUUUUCCAAGGCUAUCAUGUGCAUAAUCAUUGCUCCAUAAAAUGUGUAUAUACUACAAGACAUCAUGUGGCACCAAAAACAAAAGCAAUGCUUAAAACAA
Long non-coding RNA from Rosa chinensis, 1899 nucleotides. RefSeq lists it as uncharacterized. NCBI's taxonomy places the organism in Eukaryota, Viridiplantae, Streptophyta, Magnoliopsida, Rosales, Rosaceae. The record is from RefSeq and is a predicted model, not a curated record. The transcript is spliced from 9 exons.